Molecule: ribosomal RNA, 377 nt
Filed under: uncultured bacterium
Lineage: Bacteria
Description: bacterial SSU rRNA
Rfam family: Bacterial small subunit ribosomal RNA
Source: RNAcentral
UAAUACGGAGGGGGCAAGCGUUACUCGGAAUUAUUGGGCGUAAAGGGCGCGUAGGCGGUCGUGUGCGUCGGAGGUGAAAUCCCCGGGCUUAACCCGGGAGCUGCCUCCGAUACGGCAUGGCUUGAGUCCGGGAGAGGGGAGCAGAAUUCCCAGUGUAGCGGUGAAAUGCGUAGAUAUUGGGAGGAAUACCGGUGGCGAAGGCGGCUCCCUGGACCGGUACUGACGCUGAGGCGCGAAAGCGUGGGUAGCAAACAGGAUUAGAUACCCUGGUAGUCCACGCCGUAAACGAUGGGUGCUUGGUGUCGGGGGUAUCGACCCCUCCGGUGCCGAAGCUAACGCAUUAAGCACCCCGCCUGGGGAGUACGGUCGCAAGGCUG